UAAACAGCGAACGAGAUGUGCAGCAGUGGUAUUACACGUGAAAAAGCCCUUGUCUCUUUAACCUUGUUGUUUUUUUUCUCUCGCAGAGGUUACCUUUUCCCGAUGGUGCAAAAUCGACUUGACAUAACUGUUCAUCAGUUUCAGGGUUUUCCCUGGAGGUAUUUGCAUCAAAUCAACCCAGUCAAGCUUCAAGUUGAAAUUGGCAGGCCAGAAACUGACAGGGUAGCGACUGGGAAAGAGACAGCUAAAGUGCAGGCAGUAAACUGACAGCAGCAGAGUGAAAGACACACACAGAGAGAAGCUUUUCAACUUUAGUGGGAAGGGGUGGCGGCGGCUGGGGGGGGGGGCUGCAGAGAGAGAAACAUCAACUCUAAACCUUUUUAGGUCUUAAUAGUACUGAAUGCAGGCAGCAGCUCCUGAAUUGUGUUGGGAGACCCAAAGGUGUCUCCGCUCAAGUUCUUCGGACCAGGCAGCAGUACUAAGAUCUGGUUCACUGGUGUAUAAACUCUUCUUGCUUAAUGUGAUAGGAUGCCUAAAGAGGAGUGGUCAGCCUUAAUUAGAUCACAGUGAAAGUUCCUGUGGUACCUCCUAUGAACUUUCCAGAGAGAUGGGGAAGGGUGCAGUGAAAUAGAAAAGGAAGAUCCCUACCGUAGGCAUCCAAGGAAUAAAUGAGAACCAAAGGUUGGGUUGCUGUGCAAGACUGUAGCUGAAAUCCUACACAGGGGCAGGUUCUUUUCAGUGCCAUCUAACUGUUAUAGGAACAGUCCCGUCUAUAUUCAGGGUUGCUGCAUAUGUGCAUCUAUCUAUCUAUUCAUAUGGAUGAAUAUGAGUACCAAAUUCUAGUCCUACCUUCAUUCUGCACCACAGGUAAACUGUUGAGAGACUAGACACAUUUUUAUGGGAUACAAGGGAAGACAUAUAUUGACUUGCUGAGUGCAAUCCUAUGCAUGUUUACUCAGAAAUAAGACUGAUGGUGUUCAGAUGAGGCUUGUACUCAAAGAGUACGCAGGACAGCAGCCUAAAAUACAGCCCCACAGAAGUUUCCCUUUCAGCAGAACUAAAGCAAAUUCUUAAUUUCACGGAACCCCUUUCAACGAAAUAGACUCCCUCCCCCCAGAUCACUCAAUAGCGGUGUGCUUUUAUAUUCCUGUUUUAAAACAUCAUUGCCUGGAAUAGAUUUUCUUAAAACAGUAGGCUGUGAGAGAAGAUGAAACCUUGACAAAAAUCUGACAUCCAUCUAUUAUCCUGGAUUAGAAAGUUCAGUUAAUUCAGGGAGAUCUAUUUCCAAGCAAAUAUGUAUGUAGGAAGCAGAGGUGCUCGUGAAAACCUCAUCCUCCUUAUAUUUACUUAGUGGCAAACCCACAGAUUUCAAAGAAACUGGCCUCCCAAUGAAGUCUGGGAGCAAUGCAAUCCUAGCUGCGUUUCGUAAGAAGCGUCUCACUGAUUUCAAGUGAGACUUAAUUCUAAGCACUGCAGCCUAUUUUAAGAUCCCUUCUGAUUCUGAUUUAAAGAACUGAAAAUAAUAUGCAAGAAUAUGAGAGUCACAUUCAUGAUGAUUUCUGCCACCCGCCCCCCCCAAAGGGGGAGAAGUAGCAAAAAGAAAACCCUUCCUCAUAUAUGAGGUAUAGGUGUAUAUAUUAUGCAUCUGUUAUGAAUGCAAGUAUGCACAGUUUAUAAGUUCCACAUUUUUGUUGUUGUUUUUCCCCUUUUCGGCAUUCGCUCGCUGAUUUAUUUCUUUUUUUGAAAAAAUCCUCCUCCUCACUUUCCCUAACCAGACUUCUGCUACAGUAAAGCCUUGCUUUCAAACAGUUUUUCAGCCCUACAUGUGACAGGCAUUGGCUGAUCUGCUGAUGCCCAUUCGACAGGCACUGUUGAGCUAAAGUAGUGUGACGGCACAGUUUUGUUAAGCUGUGAACAAAGGACUGGAGAUGCCUCAGUAGCAUCAUCCAUGUGCAUAUUGGCCUUGUCACAGUUUUGCUUGAUUUAAUGCUCUGUUUAUUCCUAGAUAUUAGAAGUUAAAUUCCAAACAAUAUGUUUUCCCAUAUAGAACAAACUUUAGUUUGAAGGCUUCCGCUCCUGAGGAUGGCAGAUCCAUUUUGGUCUGACCAAUUGCCAUACAGCCAGCCUUGAAAACUCAGUAUCUUGGAUAAGAAGGGCUGCCAGCCUUUCCUUUGCUGUUUGUUAUCCAUUAAAAAAAAGGAGGAGGAGGGACAGGGCAGGUGGGGGUGGGGGGGAAGACAGAGGAGAGAGAUGAGAUUUCCUUAAUUUUGAAAAAAAAAGCUUAUUUUUUUUUUCCUUUGAUCAUUCAUUGAGAGUUGCUAUUUAUUGCAACAGUGGAUUUUCUUAUAAGCUCCUAAGGAACGGGUUACCCUCGGCGCAGAAGAGGGGCAGGCUGGCUGGCUGGACUUUUUCAAAUGACAUAUCACCCCCAUGGUACUGCUGUGAUAAAAGGAAUCUUUUUGCAAAUACCUGUAAGCACUGUCAGGAGGCUCAGCAGCCAGAAAUAAAGAUGCCAGAUGAUGGAAGGUGAACAGGAAUGAAGACGAAACAGGAUUUAAGAUAGUUUGGAGGGAAAUGCUCAUUAGGAAAACAGAACUUUAUAGAGAGGGAGCUCUGACAACAGAGGAACUGAAUGUAGGGGGUGAAAUCCAGGGCGCAAUUCUGUUGCACUGAAGAGAGGUGGUUGCUUUUUUUGAAAUGUAUUUUUAAGGUCUGCUUCCCCCUCCCCACCCAGCCACCUUCAGGUUUGUGCAAGUGUUUGUUAGGAGAUUAGCAAGCAGACUUAUGCAGAGGAUGUAGCCAUGGCAAGCUGAUUUUUGCUGGAAGGAAUGCUCCUUAGGUCAGGGUGUGAAGACAUAAGGAGCAGCAACGAACUGGGGUCGGAGAGCAGGUAUUUCCCUCUUUCUGUCUCAUGCCAAAGACAAAUGUUGCUGGUGGAAAGAUUGGUGGCAAGGCAUCAAAUCCCAGCAGGAGCACAGAUGUUCCCCCUUUUUAUAGGUUUCCCAAGGAACACUUUGGCUCUGAGCAGUUUAUCCCAGUCUGGGUCUGCAUGUGCAUGGACAGGCAGCCUGGUUUGUGUGUUUCCCCCCUCCCGGCAGGGUCAAGCAUAGGGUGGCGGGGCAAGUGCGGGUAAAGCCAACUGUUAUCUGCAGCAAACCACCCAGGUGACCGUUUUUGCAUCCUGCAGUAUCUGCCUGGGAAGUACUGCUCCAAGCUGAGGACUCCCCUCAGAGCUGUGCCUGAAGACAGAGUGCUGUGGGGAUGCUCUGCGAAUUAGCUUUGGCCAUAUUUUGGCUGUGCAAACCAUGUUGGCUAGGAAGGACAAGCUCAAGGCAUUAGGUUUCUCCACCAAAAAUGUAACAUCUGCUCAGUGCCAGAAGGGGGAAGGAAACUACGGGGAGAUAUCCCAUGCGAUAAAGAUUUCCUGGAGUGGAACCAUAAUGUGUAAAUAAGAUCAGUGUGUCUGAGUUUGAUGUUGUAAAAGAUUCUACCAAUCUCUUGCAAUCCUGGGCAAUUUUGCCUCAUUUCUCCUUCCGUAAAAGAGAGCUGUUCUUUGAGGGCUGCGAGUAGGUGGAGUGAUGGGGGGGGGGGGGAGAACACUCAACAAUAUGGAAGAAUCCCUUCUCCUCACAGUUCAUUCGAGAGCCUGCAUCUGAAAUUGAAUCUGCCGGACAAAAACCUGUCCCAUUUUUUUUCCUACCUGCCCUUAGCCUGCCUCCUUUCAACUAUGACAGUUUUACUAACUGAAAUGAAUGGCUUUGCCUUCCGUGGUACUUUUCUUAGUACACAUUUACAUCAAGGGCUGCAAACAGAGAGCUGGGUGAUAAAUGUAAGGGAGAAUUUGCAGAGAAUAAGCUUUAGUGCAAUGUAUAUUUAUAGAGAGAGCAGUUUUUUCAAAUGCCAGUCCUUAAAAAGCUACUCACUGUAGUCGGAUCACAAGAUGUGACAUAGUCUGUGCUGCUCUUGAAGCACAAGAGGUUUAUGUGUCUAGGUCCCAUAAGAGUUAAUGGAGGAUGUGCAUGUUAAUCUCCACAACUGUGAGAUAAUAGGGGCCUUUUUAUGUAGGGAUGAGAUGGGAAGCUUAUGAAAUUUCAAAAGGAACCCAGCGUUAGAUUUAAUGUAUCCUAUUAAUACUUUAUUUUAAAUAUUUAUAAAACAGACAGGCCAGAAGAAAAUAAGAUGUAAGACCCUUAUUAAUAACCCAGCAGCACACCUGGUCCUGCUCUUACUGAGGCUAAUGGCAAAGUGACUCUGGCUGCGCACAGCCAAUAGCUUCUGGGAGACUCAGACGCAGUUCUGUGGGUAUGUCAUCGCCUGUAGUACGUAAGUCAAUAGUUUGCAUUUCACUUUAGUUGCUGGUAGGAAUGUUCAGGGUUCCAAAUUAUACCUUCAGAAAGCCAAAACUAGACCCGGGGUGACAACACCUCCACACCAAUUUUGUGUGCACUGUUGUCAUAAUUGAUCCUUGGGGUAAGUGUCCAUGGCAAGUUGCAUUCUUGCACAUCCCCACCCCAGUACCCGAUGCACUUUUUGGCACAGUUUUUAAAUUCCACCAACUUACACACAUGCCCAUGCAGUUCCUUCCCCAAACAAAGGCCACAUUUCCCCUUAAGGCUGAAACUGACCAAACCCCAAGCUGCUUGGAAUCUGGUCCGGCAAAUUCAGCGUAUUCUCAUACUGUGAGACUAGGAGGAAAGACUCCAAUUAGGAAAACAGAGGGAACAGGAUCCUAUUCUGUAAGAGGCACCUUUGCCCCAUUAUAUCUGUAUCAUUUUCAGGCUGCCAAUACUUGAACAGAUCCUGACUGUGGUGCAGCAGGGGAGGUUCCUCUCUCUCUUCAUACUAUGGAAGGCAGGCUAGGAACUGGGCUGCACACAAGUGCCCUGUGGCUGACAGGUCUUGGCCACAGCGAACGAGAAAGCCAGUUACCUCCUGAGGUGGAGAGGAUUCCUGUGUAGGAAGCCCUGAGGCUUCUUCCUCCAACCAGCAAAUGCUGAGGAUUCCUCAUACUAAGGGCUGCAUAGAGUAUUUCAGCCAUGUGAGCGCUGUAGGCAAGUACUCAUUUUGUAAGGCUAGCAUGAAACAGAAUUUCCCUCAAUGUGCCUACUGCAGGAUAGUGGUUUGGUGUUUGGUCCAGUCGCCCAAGUGUUGCCGGAAUGGGGCAAGUUCUCAAACGUUUUCUUGCUGAAACAGGAAGGAACGGGCCCUUCCCUCCCACAGAUAACACCUUUGAAGUUUUGAAAUAUAACUUGAAAGGCCCGUAUCUGCAAUCUGAGCCUCUGAAAAGAGAAUUUAUCCUUUAGUUCAUGUGCAGCAAGAGAUAACAAGCCAGGCAGAGCGUGUGUGUGUGUGUGUUUCAGAAAGGGACUUCGAGCUAGUUUCCUGGGUGCCAUGCUCUCUGACCUGAAUGCCUUUCUGCAUGUUGCAAGUUCUGUAUGUGGAGGUCACUUGUGGCAACUUAAGGGCGAUGCAAAGGCACUCUGCAUGUUCUCAAAGGUGUUCUUCUAUAGGCCUGAAUUCUGGCAUUGAAAAUAGCAUUUCUAGAGAGGCAAUAGAGAAGCAGUCUCUCCCCUCUGCUUGUCAGGCUACGUGCAGUAUUCCUCGGGGGUAUAUCUGGGCUCUGGUUAUCAUGAACUGUACAGAGGUUUUAAAAAUACCUGCAACAAACUCUCUUUAAAUAUGCUGUAGGAUUAAUAUCUACAAUAUAACCUUUGAUAUACUGAAUAACAGUAUAUUCCUCUAUCUCCACUUGUUGUAGACCUAAGCUUUUGGUCCAAGAGCCACAUACCAUUGCAUCAAAAUCUGCAGCAGAGGGUGUCUUCACAGUUGCAGCAAGGUCAGGAAAAAAUGUAGCCCUUCCAUCUCUUGUUUGUGAUAUGUCCUGCACAUUUUCCUGUGAUAGCUGGACGAUCUUUUUUAAUGCACUAGGCUCUAGCACCCAAGCUCAGCUUUUCAAAAGUCAUCAAAUGUGGACUAUUUGGUGAAAUGUGUUGGCGUAUCAGAAUGGUGGGAUGCCUGUUGUCUUUUGAUUGUUGUGUCACCAUCCCUGAGUGAUGGAUACCAGUUUGUUCAAAGAAAGCUGACUUCAGUUACACUUGAUUUUCUGAUUCCAAAAGGGUACUGAAAACUCUAUGCCUGUCUAAUUAUAUUUUAUGCCAGGCUGUGCAAUACAAUAUACGUGCCACAGCAAUCAGCGAGUUAAUGGUAUCAAUCAAUUUGUAAACAGAUGAAGUCACUCAUUCUCAAACUGGUUCCCCCCCCCCCAAACAAUUACUAAAUUACAAUGGUGCGGGGGGGGGGAGAAGAGAAAUUGUACAGUUACUGUAUUUGUGUGCUGUGUUACAAUCAACAUACCAGGGAAACAAAACAAUUUAAUGCAGAAAAAUCAUCAUUCAUCUACAUUAUAAUUGCUUCUUUUUCACAUCUACAGGGCGGUUAAUUAAAAUUGUGAUUAAAUGCGGUCGCGCUGCCUAAGAUGUCUUGCCCAAAACAGGUGGUACAG
Podarcis lilfordi (Lilford's wall lizard) is the source of this 6502-nucleotide non-coding RNA. The record is from the annotation of a GenBank genome assembly. NCBI's taxonomy places the organism in Eukaryota, Metazoa, Chordata, Lepidosauria, Squamata, Lacertidae.